RNAcentral lists this long non-coding RNA (595 nucleotides) under Capsicum annuum. Its description in RNAcentral is "long non-coding RNA (CANN_LNC008947)". Lineage: Eukaryota; Viridiplantae; Streptophyta; Magnoliopsida; Solanales; Solanaceae. The record is from RNAcentral.
CUCGAUGUUACUUUAUUCAAUCAACUUGAAUCGAUUUUAAAAGCGACGAGAGCCUCGGGAACCAAUGAACCUCGUACAGACCCCAACAACGAAAUCAGUCCAACUUCGGUAUAUUCCAACACUGUUUUUCGCCAAACCAACCGAUAAUUAUGCGAGAGAGGUGAAACCCCCGCCUAGCUUUACGAUUGCGUCAGCGAUUUUUUAUGAACUUUCUGACAAGACUCACUCCAUCGGAGCUACGCCGGAUGACAGGGGUUGACCGCUGACAUUUCUCGAUGAGAAUUUCUCCGGUAAAACCAGAGAUGACGGGGUUUCAGUAAUACUUGUACCCGAUCAAAAAUAACCAGUUCCGGCGAAGAGUUCACCGAAAAACUCAAACCCAGAUGGUACCCUACUGAUUUCCGUUCAUCUCUCCGAUUGGGUGUGGGUGUUUUGAUGGAGAAGAAAGAAAAAGAAGAAAAAGUAUUUUUCUCUGUUGGCCCGGAGAUAGGAAGAAAAAAUGAGGUCCUUUUCUUGGUUCAAGAUGAUGAUUCUCAUAUGUGUGUGUAUGACGAAGAGAAGGGAAAAAAUGGAGUGUUUUCUCGAUCUGUGUGUG